AUACGUAGGUGGCAAGCGUUGUCCGGAUUUACGUGGGCGUAAAGGGAGCGUAGGCGGAUUUUUAAGUGGGAUGUGAAAUACCCGGGCUUAACCUGGGUGCUGCAUUCCAAACUGGAAGUCUAGAGUACAGGAGGGGAAAGUGGAAUUCCUAGUGUAGCGGUGAAAUGCGUAGAGAUUAGGAAGAAUACCAGUGGCGAAGGCGGCUUUCUGGACUGUAACUGACGCUGAGGCAUGAAAGCGUGGGGAGC
RNAcentral lists this ribosomal RNA (248 nucleotides) under uncultured bacterium. RNAcentral describes it as "partial 16S ribosomal RNA". It matches the Rfam family "Bacterial small subunit ribosomal RNA", at positions 523 to 769 of the family's 1533-position model. The record is from RNAcentral.